This 758-nucleotide ribosomal RNA is filed under the name uncultured Planctomycetota bacterium. Its description in RNAcentral is "bacterial SSU rRNA". It matches the Rfam family "Bacterial small subunit ribosomal RNA", at positions 119 to 905 of the family's 1533-position model. The record is from RNAcentral. Lineage: Bacteria; Pseudomonadati; Planctomycetota.
UUCCUACGUACCCCAAGGCCAGGGAUAGCCCCGGGAAACUGGGAGUAAUACCUGAUGAUAUCUCCGGAUCAAAGGCUCCGGCCACCUUGGGAGCGGGGAACGCCCUAUCAGGUUGUUGGUGAGGUAACGGCUCACCAAGCCUUAGACGGGUAGCGGGUGUGAGAGCAUGACCCGCCGCAUCGGGACUGAGACACUGCCCGGACUCCUACGGGAGGCUGCAGUAACGAAUAUUCCGCAAUGCGCGAAAGCGUGACGGAGCAAUGCCGCGUGUGGGAUGAAGCUUUUCGGAGUGUAAACCACUGUCAGAGUUUAGGAACUCAAUGACCAGACUCAAAGGAAGGGCCGGCUAACUUCGUGCCAGCAGCCGCGGUAAUACGAAGGGCCCGAGCGUUAAUCGGAAUCACUGGGCUUAAAGCGUGCGUAGGCGGACUUGAAGGCGCUUUGUGAAAUCCCUCGGCUCAACCGAGGAACUGCAGGGCGAACCAUGAGUCUCGAGACAGGUAGAGGUUGUCGGAACGAUAGGUGGAGUGGUGAAAUGCGUUGAUAUCUAUCGGAACGCCAAUGGAGAAGUCAGGCAACUGGGCCUGUUCUGACGCUGAGGCACGAAAGCGUGGGUAGCGAACGGGAUUAGAUACCCCGGUAGUCCACGCCGUAAACGAUGCGCACUAGGUUGGAGAAGUUCUGACACUGUUUCCGGCCGAAGCAAAAGUGUUAAGUGCGCCGCCUGGGGGAGUACGGUCGCAAGGCUAAAACUCAGA